Molecule: small nuclear RNA, 106 nt
Organism: Diceros bicornis minor
Lineage: Eukaryota; Metazoa; Chordata; Mammalia; Perissodactyla; Rhinocerotidae
Source: RefSeq, a predicted model, not a curated record
GUGCUUGCUUGGCAGCUCAUAUACUAAAAUUGGAACAACAUGGAGAAGACUAGCAUGACCCCUGUGCAAAGAUGACAUGCAAAUUCAUGAAGCAUUCUAUAAUUUU